RNAcentral lists this ribosomal RNA (254 nucleotides) under uncultured bacterium. RNAcentral describes it as "partial 16S ribosomal RNA". It matches the Rfam family "Bacterial small subunit ribosomal RNA", at positions 524 to 776 of the family's 1533-position model. The record is from RNAcentral.
GACAGAGGGUGCGAGCGUUGUCCGGAAUCACUGGGCGUAAAGGGCGCGUAGGCGGACUCUUAAGUCGGGGGGUGAAAGCCCAGGGCUCAACCCUGGAAUUGCCUUCGAUACUGAGAGUCUUGAGUUCGGAAGAGGUUGGUGGAACUGCGAGUGUAGAGGUGAAAUUCGUAGAUAUUCGCAAGAACACCAGUGGCGAAGGCGGCCAACUGGUCCGAUACUGACGCUGAGGCGCGAAAGCGUGGGGAGCAAACAGG